UUAAGCGACUAAGCGUACACGGUGGAUGCCCUGGCAGUCAGAGGCGAUGAAGGACGUGCUAAUCUGCGAUAAGCGUCGGUAAGGUGAUAUGAACCGUUAUAACCGGCGAUUUCCGAAUGGGGAAACCCAGUGUGAUUCGUCACACUAUCAUUAACUGAAUCCAUAGGUUAAUGAGGCGAACCGGGGGAACUGAAACAUCUAAGUACCCCGAGGAAAAGAAAUCAACCGAGAUUCCCCCAGUAGCGGCGAGCGAACGGGGAGCAGCCCAGAGCCUGAAUCAGUGUGUGUGUUAGUGGAAGCGUCUGGAAAGGCGCGCGAUACAGGGUGACAGCCCCGUACACAAAAAUGCACAUGCUGUGAGCUCGAUGAGUAGGGCGGGACACGUGGUAUCCUGUCUGAAUAUGGGGGGACCAUCCUCCAAGGCUAAAUACUCCUGACUGACCGAUAGUGAACCAGUACCGUGAGGGAAAGGCGAAAAGAACCCCGGCGAGGGGAGUGAAAAAGAACCUGAAACCGUGUACGUACAAGCAGUGGGAGCACGCUUAGGCGUGUGACUGCGUACCUUUUGUAUAAUGGGUCAGCGACUUAUAUUCUGUAGCAAGGUUAACCGAAUAGGGGAGCCGAAGGGAAACCGAGUCUUAACUGGGCGUUAAGUUGCAGGGUAUAGACCCGAAACCCGGUGAUCUAGCCAUGGGCAGGUUGAAGGUUGGGUAACACUAACUGGAGGACCGAACCGACUAAUGUUGAAAAAUUAGCGGAUGACUUGUGGCUGGGGGUGAAAGGCCAAUCAAACCGGGAGAUAGCUGGUUCUCCCCGAAAGCUAUUUAGGUAGCGCCUCGUGAAUUCAUCUCCGGGGGUAGAGCACUGUUUCGGCAAGGGGGUCAUCCCGACUUACCAACCCGAUGCAAACUGCGAAUACCGGAGAAUGUUAUCACGGGAGACACACGGCGGGUGCUAACGUCCGUCGUGAAGAGGGAAACAACCCAGACCGCCAGCUAAGGUCCCAAAGUCAUGGUUAAGUGGGAAACGAUGUGGGAAGGCCCAGACAGCCAGGAUGUUGGCUUAGAAGCAGCCAUCAUUUAAAGAAAGCGUAAUAGCUCACUGGUCGAGUCGGCCUGCGCGGAAGAUGUAACGGGGCUAAACCAUGCACCGAAGCUGCGGCAGCGACGCUUAUGCGUUGUUGGGUAGGGGAGCGUUCUGUAAGCCUGCGAAGGUGUGCUGUGAGGCAUGCUGGAGGUAUCAGAAGUGCGAAUGCUGACAUAAGUAACGAUAAAGCGGGUGAAAAGCCCGCUCGCCGGAAGACCAAGGGUUCCUGUCCAACGUUAAUCGGGGCAGGGUGAGUCGACCCCUAAGGCGAGGCCGAAAGGCGUAGUCGAUGGGAAACAGGUUAAUAUUCCUGUACUUGGUGUUACUGCGAAGGGGGGACGGAGAAGGCUAUGUUGGCCGGGCGACGGUUGUCCCGGUUUAAGCGUGUAGGCUGGUUUUCCAGGCAAAUCCGGAAAAUCAAGGCUGAGGCGUGAUGACGAGGCACUACGGUGCUGAAGCAACAAAUGCCCUGCUUCCAGGAAAAGCCUCUAAGCAUCAGGUAACAUCAAAUCGUACCCCAAACCGACACAGGUGGUCAGGUAGAGAAUACCAAGGCGCUUGAGAGAACUCGGGUGAAGGAACUAGGCAAAAUGGUGCCGUAACUUCGGGAGAAGGCACGCUGAUAUGUAGGUGAAGUCCCUCGCGGAUGGAGCUGAAAUCAGUCGAAGAUACCAGCUGGCUGCAACUGUUUAUUAAAAACACAGCACUGUGCAAACACGAAAGUGGACGUAUACGGUGUGACGCCUGCCCGGUGCCGGAAGGUUAAUUGAUGGGGUCAGCGCAAGCGAAGCUCUUGAUCGAAGCCCCGGUAAACGGCGGCCGUAACUAUAACGGUCCUAAGGUAGCGAAAUUCCUUGUCGGGUAAGUUCCGACCUGCACGAAUGGCGUAAUGAUGGCCAGGCUGUCUCCACCCGAGACUCAGUGAAAUUGAACUCGCUGUGAAGAUGCAGUGUACCCGCGGCAAGACGGAAAGACCCCGUGAACCUUUACUAUAGCUUGACACUGAACAUUGAGCCUUGAUGUGUAGGAUAGGUGGGAGGCUUUGAAGUGUGGACGCCAGUCUGCAUGGAGCCGACCUUGAAAUACCACCCUUUAAUGUUUGAUGUUCUAACGUGGACCCGUAAUCCGGGUUGCGGACAGUGUCUGGUGGGUAGUUUGACUGGGGCGGUCUCCUCCUAAAGAGUAACGGAGGAGCACGAAGGUUGGCUAAUCCUGGUCGGACAUCAGGAGGUUAGUGCAAUGGCAUAAGCCAGCUUGACUGCGAGCGUGACGGCGCGAGCAGGUGCGAAAGCAGGUCAUAGUGAUCCGGUGGUUCUGAAUGGAAGGGCCAUCGCUCAACGGAUAAAAGGUACUCCGGGGAUAACAGGCUGAUACCGCCCAAGAGUUCAUAUCGACGGCGGUGUUUGGCACCUCGAUGUCGGCUCAUCACAUCCUGGGGCUGAAGUAGGUCCCAAGGGUAUGGCUGUUCGCCAUUUAAAGUGGUACGCGAGCUGGGUUUAGAACGUCGUGAGACAGUUCGGUCCCUAUCUGCCGUGGGCGCUGGAGAACUGAGGGGGGCUGCUCCUAGUACGAGAGGACCGGAGUGGACGCAUCACUGGUGUUCGGGUUGUCAUGCCAAUGGCACUGCCCGGUAGCUAAAUGCGGAAGAGAUAAGUGCUGAAAGCAUCUAAGCACGAAACUUGCCCCGAGAUGAGUUCUCCCUGACUCCUUGAGAGUCCUGAAGGAACGUUGAAGACGACGACGUUGAUAGGCCGGGUGUGUAAGCGCAGCGAUGCGUUGAGCUAACCGGUACUAAUGAACCGUGAGGCUUAACCUU
This 2902-nucleotide ribosomal RNA is filed under the name Escherichia coli. Its description in RNAcentral is "bacterial LSU rRNA". It matches the Rfam family "Bacterial large subunit ribosomal RNA". Lineage: Bacteria; Pseudomonadati; Pseudomonadota; Gammaproteobacteria; Enterobacterales; Enterobacteriaceae. The record is from RNAcentral.